CAGCCGCCGCGGUAAUACGUAGGUGGCAAGCGUUGUCCGGAAUUAUUGGGCGUAAAGCGCGCGCAGGUGGUUUAAUAAGUCUGAUGUGAAAGCCCACGGCUCAACCGUGGAGGGUCAUUGGAAACUGUUAAACUUGAGUGCAGGAGAGAAAAGUGGAAUUCCUAGUGUAGCGGUGAAAUGCGUAGGGAUUAGGAGGAACACCAGUGGCGAAGGCGGCUUUUUGGCCUGUAACUGACACUGAGGCGCGAAAGCGUGGGGAGCAAACAGGAUUAGAUACCCCCGUAGUCCCUGUCUCUUAUAA
RNAcentral lists this ribosomal RNA (301 nucleotides) under uncultured bacterium. RNAcentral describes it as "partial 16S ribosomal RNA". It matches the Rfam family "Bacterial small subunit ribosomal RNA", at positions 509 to 809 of the family's 1533-position model. The record is from RNAcentral.